CAAGGAUGCUGGUGUUAUUGCCGGCCUCAAUGUGAUGCGUAUCAUCAAUGAACCCACAGCUGCUGCUAUUGCUUACGGUCUUGACAAGAAGGCUACCAGUGUUGGUGAGAAGAAUGUUCUCAUCUUUGACUUGGGUGGUGGUACCUUCGAUGUUUCUCUCCUCACAAUUGAAGAGGGUAUAUUUGAGGUGAAGGCCACGGCAGGUGAUACCCAUCUUGGUGGUGAGGACUUCGACAACCGAAUGGUUAACCACUUUGUGCAGGAAUUCAAGAGGAAGCACAAAAAGGACAUUAGUGGAAACCCGAGGGCCCUCAGGAGGUUGAGGACAUCAUGUG
Molecule: unclassified non-coding RNA, 335 nt
Filed under: Hevea brasiliensis (rubber tree)
Lineage: Eukaryota; Viridiplantae; Streptophyta; Magnoliopsida; Malpighiales; Euphorbiaceae
Source: RNAcentral